CACAUCCACGUGAAAUUAGGGAAUCUCCCAACCACAAAUCUUUAAAGGGGGAGCAAAUGUCCUCAAGCCCUUGAGGUUCUAGAAACUCCUGAGUCUGUGUUCAAAGAGAAAGAAGCAAAAUGGAAAUUUAGAACAAAUUCUCCUCUCACAGAAGGACGAUGCCUCUUGUCAACUGAAAGUUCUAGGGAAAUGUCACAAAAUUCCCCCGGACCCUGGAGUUCUGUGGCUGGAUAUGGGAACUCUGGAAGUUUCCCUGAAGAGACUCAGAGCUGAUGGAGAGGGGAGAGAGCAAGCUUACAAGGGACUCUCAUAGGAAAUGCAACAAUAGCAGUGUUGUGCCCUGUGAGUGCUGCAAACAGGGUCCUCAGCAAGAGGGAAUAUGGGUAUGCCUAUGCUUGAGCUGUUCUGCCAUCUAAAUGUGCAUAAUGGAAAAAAAAAACCUUGUAUAAAAAUGUAAUAAAAUAGGUCUGUGAAUUCAGCCUUAAAAAAUCAUGUGCAUCUGGGUUUGGCCUGAAGCGGGGGGGAAAAAUCCCAUGAUCAUUUUGGUGGAGUUGGAUGAGGGGAGUGGUUAAACAGGUAUUUAUUAUUUGAUUUUGUAUUUUUCAAAAAGAUAAUAUUUAUUCAUUAUUAAAAAUUCAAGCAAUGUAUGUGUAAUGGUGUAUCAGGAUCUAGCUACAAGUAACAGUAAACUCAAUCAACAAUGGUUUUAAAAGAUGAAUAUUUGUUGUUAAUUACCAGGAAGCUUGAAAGUAGGAGGUUCUGGGCUUGGUUUUAGGACUCAGUAUCAACAAGAUCUCAGACUCCUUGCUCUUUCCACCCUGCUCUACUCGGUGUGUUGGUGAUGUCUCCCCUCAUGAUCACAAGACAGCUGCCACAGCUCCAGACAUCAGGACCUUAUGUCAGAGUCCCAAGCAGUAAGGAAGGGGAUGAUUAUGCGAAAGACAACCUUGUCUUCCUUUAUUAAAGAGAAAGGUAUUUCCCAGAAACCGUCCCCUUCCUCCAUAAAGCUGGAGGGACUUCUCUCCAAACCUUAGCUCUCCCACUUUAUCUCUCUGAGCCUCAACUUUCCCAUCCUGGAAAUGGGGAUAUAGUAAUAUCUGCUGUAUAGUGUGUUGUGAGAACUAAAUGAGGAAAUACUUCAUGUAUAGUAAGCACUCAGUCUCUUCCCAUUUCCCUGGCAGAUUCACCCCUCUUCGCCUUUCUUCAGCUUAUUCUGUGCUGCCUUGGAACUGCAACAAUGGUCUCCCUUUUCCUCUGGCUUUUGGUUGACUUGGCCAAUGGAAAGUAGCGACAGGAGGGCAGGAGGGAAGAGAGAGAAGUGGAGUAUUUAUUCCCCUAGCUCCGUGUCUGUGGGAUUGCCAAAGAAGGCUGCUUCUCUACUAGUGGCCACAGCUUCCCUCUGCCAGUGCCCCCUCCAGCUCCCCGGAAUGCCCAGAACAGCUCCCUGAGGUUACCAGCCCCAGGGAGCUGCACCCUUGCUUUUUCUAAACGUGCCCUCACCUUAAUAAGCAGUCUCUUCAUUAAACUCUUCUCCAAAUACCAGUUUGAGUGCAUCAUCUUUUCCUGUCAGCACCCAGACUGAUCCAAAACAUUCGCUUUUUUUUUCUUUUUCAAAGUAAAUUAUUUGCAAACUUCAAUAUUUUAUUAGUGUGACUUGACUCACACUUCAUGAUUAAGAAUCACCAGUCCAUUUGGUCAAAAAGUCGGUCAAGUGGGAUGUUUGAUUGAGCUGGCUGUUAUAAUCAUGAAUUAAAUUUAAAUCCUUGGGCCUCUGGCCAUAUCCUGAGGCACAAUAUCUUUUACGUGAUAAUGAUUUUGGGGAAAAAAAAAGAAAAAAAAAGACCCAAUUUUACAUUCACAUGCUCUGAACUCAGGGCUGUGUAUUCUUGACAUCCUUCAGUUAAAUAGAAAACACUGGGUUUUGAAACUGUAUUGAUUUCAGCAGGCAUAUAUUAUUUUACUGUAAGUACCAAUGUCUGUUGUACUUAAUAUACAAUGGAUUAAUUUAAAAUGCAUUAGUUUAAUAAAAAUGCAUAAAACAGAAUAGAAUUGCAUUAACUUCAAUAAAAAAUUCAAUUUCAUAAAUAUUAUCUCGUGUUAAAAUGCAUUGAUUUCCAGGAAAAUAUAUUGGUCAAAGGUAAUUUACAUUGGUUUGAAUGGAAAUGCGCCAGUCUCCAUACAUAUGUAUUAGUUUAGUCAAACGUAUCCAAUUGUGUAAAAUAUCAGUUAGGCUGAAAUGGAUUCCGACCCUGUUUGUUGUUGUUGUUGUUGUCUGAUUCUCUUUGGCUGAAUAAAUAUUUCCCAUCCUGGCUUUAGUGUGGCCCAGUGCAUGUGAAGGAAGACAGGUGGAUGAGCCCGAGGAACAUUUUGGUAACCCACUGGUUUGUGAGUGGACGUGCAGCAGUUAAGACUCCCUUGGUGACAGGUAAGGUGUGUUCACCUUCCCCACUGAGGCUGACUGUGAGGUAUGAGCUGGAGAUCCAAACAAAGGGCCCAGAAGUAAUACCUCCUGUCUCCAUGAGGCCUGACUGGAGCCACACCCAGACUAGGAAAAUGGAUGUAGUCCUUGACUAGGGCAGGGGUGCUGGAAGGGAGCUGUGAUAUCGAAGCAAAUGGGGACCAGAGCAGAAGGUAAGCUAGGCUCAGAGCUCAGGGUCAGCCGGGCACAGGAUCACA
RNAcentral lists this long non-coding RNA (2676 nucleotides) under Sus scrofa (pig). RNAcentral describes it as "lncRNA (ENSSSCG00005016617.1)". Lineage: Eukaryota; Metazoa; Chordata; Mammalia; Artiodactyla; Suidae. The record is from RNAcentral.